GCCAUAUCAUAUCACUGUAGGUCAAAUAAUUUUACCAGAUAGAAAAUCAUGUGUUGAAUGCUAUAGAGAAAUCCUUGGUAAGGACUCUAUGGACUAUAUCCAUAGUAAUUGAAGUUAGGAAAACAUCCCAAGCAAUAAUUUUAAAGUUGACAACAGGAAUAACAGAGAGAGAGGUGGCGAUAGGAGAAAGUCAAGUGAGGUAAUGAUCCUAUGAUAAUUGUCUGAAG
This 227-nucleotide unclassified non-coding RNA is filed under the name Hevea brasiliensis (rubber tree). The record is from RNAcentral. Lineage: Eukaryota; Viridiplantae; Streptophyta; Magnoliopsida; Malpighiales; Euphorbiaceae.